UAUUGGUAUAUUAACUAUUGAUUUAUCUUUUAUUUACUUAUGUUAAUUAUGGAUUAGUGGGUCAAAAACGAGGUCGUGGACUGACUAGGGGGUUAAAUACCCAAAAGUAUAAACGCAAAUCCGGGGGGGAGAAGCCAAAAAUUGUUAUUCCUAAAGGAAUAAACAGACCCGUUGGGGAGCAUAGCUCCAAACAUGCAACCGAGAUUGGGGUCUUAAUUAGGUGUGAAGCUCCAAUGCAAGUUGAGGGUUGGGCGAAAAUUCCGGAUGAAACAAAAGAUCAUCUUCUUAGGAAGUUGACUAAUAAGCUCAGUUAUGAACUGGAGGAGCCUCAUGUUGUUCAAUGCAUUUGGAAGUCUUUUGCCAAACAGUAUUCAUCUUUUCGUUCAAAUGCUCAUAAAUAUUAUUUAAAAUGGAAAGAAGGAGGUGGUGUGACACUAGCCAGACAGAAUAUAUACGAAAAACUCGGUGAUCGUCGUGACGAUUGGCUUUGGUUGUGCGAUUUUUGGGAGACAGCAAAGUUUGAGGUACUAUAUUAUUUUAGACAAUUUUUGUUAUAAUAAAUGGAUAUUACUGAUUAGAAAAAUGAUUCAUUACAUUAUUUUUUAUUAUUUUUCAAUAUUUACAGAAAGUUUCAAAUACUCAGAAAAGCAACAGGAAGAAACUGACAUAUAGUCAUAAAUUGGGAACAAAGUCUCGUGCAGCACAUCAACAUGAGAAAGUUAGUCAUAUAUUUUCUUACUAUGAAAUAUUUAGUUGUCGACGUAAAUUAACAUUUGAAUUGUUACAUCACAGGGUUUUGAUGAUAUUGAUAUGUAUGAGGUUGAAUACCAUAAUCCGAAAAAUGGAUGGGCAUAUAAAGAUUUUGAGGCAAAUAGUGUUCGAAUGAAAGAAUUGAGAGAACAACAAAGAGCUUUGCCAGAAGGCGUUGAUCGAAUGACCACAGAAGAAAUUUGCAUAACAGUUUUAGGGGAAAAUUCAUCAUAUGCUAAAUCGAAAGGUCUUAAUCGAAAAGUAUCUGGAGUUGAUGCU
Non-coding RNA from Erythranthe guttata (spotted monkey flower), 1029 nucleotides. The record is from RefSeq and is a predicted model, not a curated record. NCBI's taxonomy places the organism in Eukaryota, Viridiplantae, Streptophyta, Magnoliopsida, Lamiales, Phrymaceae.